UCCGGUUUGUCACCGGCAGUCCCAUUAGAGUGCUCAACUAAAUGUGGCAACUAAUGGCAAGGGUUGCGCUCGUUGCGGGACUUAACCCAACAUCUCACGACACGAGCUGACGACAACCAUGCACCACCUGUAUACCGACCUUGCGGGGCACCCAUCUCUGAAUGUUUCCGGUAUAUGUCAAGCCUUGGUAAGGUUCUUCGCGUUGCAUCGAAUUAAUCCACAUGCUCCGCCGCUUGUGCGGGCCCCCGUCAAUUCCUUUGAGUUUUAACCUUGCGGCCGUACUCCCCAGGCGGAGAACUUAAUGCGUUAGCUGCGCCACCGAAAGCCUAAGGCCCCCGACAGCUAGUUCUCAUCGUUUACGGCGUGGACUAC
RNAcentral lists this unclassified non-coding RNA (372 nucleotides) under uncultured bacterium. RNAcentral describes it as "contains 16S-23S intergenic spacer region". The record is from RNAcentral.